CCCUUAGACGUUCUGGGCCGCACGCGCGCUACACUGUCGAAGGCAACGAGCUUUCCUUUACCGAAAGGUACGGGUAAUCUUUUGAAACUUCGUCGUGCUGGGGAUAGAUCCUUGCAAUUUUUGAUCUUAAACGAGGAAUGCCUAGUAAGCGCAAGUCAUCAACUUGCGUUGAUUACGUCCCUGCCCUUUGUACACACCGCCCGUCGCUACUACCGAUUGAAUGGUUUAGUGAGGCCUUCGGAUCCGCGACUCGUUUGUGGAGAAGUUGGACAAACUCAGUCAUUUAGAGGAAGUAAAAGUCGUAACA
Molecule: ribosomal RNA, 307 nt
Filed under: uncultured eukaryote
Lineage: Eukaryota
Description: partial 18S ribosomal RNA
Rfam family: Eukaryotic small subunit ribosomal RNA
Source: RNAcentral